RNAcentral lists this ribosomal RNA (253 nucleotides) under uncultured bacterium. RNAcentral describes it as "partial 16S ribosomal RNA". It matches the Rfam family "Bacterial small subunit ribosomal RNA", at positions 524 to 776 of the family's 1533-position model. The record is from RNAcentral.
UACGUAGGGUCCGAGCGUUGUCCGGAAUUACUGGGCGUAAAGAGCUCGUAGGUGGUUUGUCGCGUUGUCCGUGAAAACUCACAGCUUAACUGUGGGCGUGCGGGCGAUACGGGCAGACUGGAGUACUGCAGGGGAGACUGGAAUUCCUGGUGUAGCGGUGGAAUGCGCAGAUAUCAGGAGGAACACCGGUGGCGAAGGCGGCCUUCUGGACAGUGACUGACGCUGAGACGCGAAAGCGUGGGGAGCAAACAGG